Armigeres subalbatus is the source of this 630-nucleotide long non-coding RNA. RefSeq lists it as uncharacterized. NCBI's taxonomy places the organism in Eukaryota, Metazoa, Arthropoda, Insecta, Diptera, Culicidae. The record is from RefSeq and is a predicted model, not a curated record. The transcript is spliced from 3 exons.
GUACAUUCACGGAUGGGUGAUCCGAUGGCUGCGUCCGUCCGUAUGUAGUGUAUCACCAGCACACUCGUUCCAAACUUUCCCCUACCGCCGACAGCCCGCCAAGUCCCGAAUGGAUAUUACCUCGCUUAUGAUGAGGAAAACCGUGUCUAGAUCUUCGAAUUAAGGGAGCACACGUCUGGUAUAACCCAUGCCAAGAGAACUUCGGACAGCCGAAAUUGCAGCAAGAAAAUUGAAAAGAAAAACAAAUUGCUGGGGCAGUGUCCAAACUUGAAUCAACAGCACAUCAGUAGUCCAAGUAAUGGAACUUCAGCUACAGUUCCUUCAUAAGCAUGACCUCACCGCCGUCAAACGAUAUUCAGAAGAUCAGCAGUUUCUCAGUGACAGCGACGGCUGUCGGGUCGGGUCGUCCGAGGGAACAAUUUGUUGCUGCCCUAUUCGACAGUAUGGGGCAGAAUCUACCCUCUCAGCAACAAAGAGAUAGCGGCUUCGAAGCUCCCCCGAACACUAGGGAAAUCCAGCAAGACAUAUGCGCUACCCUGGGUCUGCGGAUCGAGAUUGGUUCCUGGAUUCCCGAUGAUUCUUCAACAUGCGACCUACUGGCGUUUUUGUGAUCUGCUGAUGUAGUGAGAA